Molecule: long non-coding RNA, 685 nt
Organism: Hyaena hyaena (striped hyena)
Lineage: Eukaryota; Metazoa; Chordata; Mammalia; Carnivora; Hyaenidae
Exons: 2
Source: RefSeq, a predicted model, not a curated record
AGCAAGGCAUUGAAUUGCCCUAAUCUCCAGGCUUCAGAGGAGGCUGGGAGCCCAGCCAACAUGAGGCGGCCGCUCUCCAUUGGCCUGGAGGAAGCAGGAGUUCACGGCCCGGCCUUAGCUCUCUCCCGUCCACCCCCCCACUUCUCUCUCUCCAACACAACCCCCCCCCAAAAGGGAGAGACCACCAGUUUUGCUUCCCUGACACAGGAAGGGAGGGCCAAAGCCCGCCGAUGCCCGGCUUCCCCCGUCUGAUCUCCCAGGAAUGAAGGAGGCGCCGGCGGCCCUGAUGAGAGAGGCAGUUUGGUUUGGUUCUGACUCACUGUCUGCAGCCGUUGGUGGAUAAGAAUCAGGCCACCCUGUACCUGCAGCCGAGGCGUGGCAGACACACAGGGUCAUACAGCGCACACCACACUAUGCCCUCUUUUCAUCCCGGGCAAGCUGACUGGCGGGAAGGGCCUUUUACACGCCGCUGGACGACGGCCGGAUUGGCAGUGCUUUCAGCAGGCGAUCUGGCAAUGAGUAUCAAGAAUAUUUUCAAAUUAUCACCUUUCGGCCCACUAACUCCAUCCCUAGGAAUCUGUCAUCAAAGAAAACUCACAUGCCUUCAAAAAUUUAUUUACAGAGACUUUCAUUUUGGUGUUAUUUACAAGCCAAAAUGAUCAACCACAUAAACGUACAAAGUGUA